This 6336-nucleotide long non-coding RNA is filed under the name Sus scrofa (pig). RNAcentral describes it as "lncRNA (ENSSSCG00000054732.1)". The record is from RNAcentral. Lineage: Eukaryota; Metazoa; Chordata; Mammalia; Artiodactyla; Suidae.
ACUGGCAGAAGACCUCAGACUUCCAAAAAAGGGCAAGAAAACCUCCACAUAACUGGGUAGAACAAAAGGGGAAAAAAGAAAGAGAAAAAAGAGAAUAAAUGAAUCAGGAUGGUCCCAGCUGUGAAAAGGAAAGGAAUCCACACACCAGAAGGCCACCUAACAGGCAUGGAGAUCUGCCAUAACAGAAGGGGAGCCUCAAAACCUUGAAGAAAAGCACAGCAGCUGGACUAAGGAAUGCAAGGCAGAGAGAGAGCCAUGCAGCUGACUGGAACCACAGCCCAGCAUACCAUAGCUGAGACACUUUGGCAGGGGCUGGAUGCUGAGGCUCAGGCUACAGUGGUCAGUCUCAGGGAGAGGACCAGAGUUGGCUGUGUGGAAACAGCCUGAGGGAGCUAGAGAGUGAUGCGCCUGGUCCUGCCAAAGAAGAAAGGUGCCAUUUUUGAGGAGUGUGAGAGGAGGGAAGGUGGAACUCCCAUAGGAACUUCCUUCUUUGCAUACACAUAAAGAUUCAAGUGGAAGGGAACCUCUUGUGUGGGCUGCAGGGGCAGGUACAAACCACUGCACCAUCUUGGACUCCAGAAGUAGGCACAGCUCAGCACCAUUGAGAUUCUCAUGACCAGGCACCACCUGCCUCCCCAAUCAACCCAGGUAUUGCCACCACAGAAGCACCUGCAACUGAGCACUGCCCAUUGCCCCCAGCUCCCUAAGGGUCACUGCCACUGCUGAGAUCCCUAAAGUUCAGGCUGUUGCUCCCACCUACCCAUGGGUGACCAGAAGCCAACCAUUGCUUCCCCCUCCCUGAAGUACAGACAGGCCAUGCACCUGCACACCUUAUCAAAGGGCUGACAGUGUGGACACACUGAAGAAAUAGAGAGCAAGGAUCCAAACCAAAAGCAGCCCUAGUGACAAAAAUAAUAAUAAUACACAAGCUACUCAGGGAUACUCCUGCGUAUAAAUGGCCCUCCAAAACUGUAGUAGAUCAUUGUUUUCCAUAAACUCACAGAGUAGGAAAAACAUAAGCAAAAUGAAGAGGUACAAGAACCAUUCUCAGUUAAAAGAAAAGGAGAUUCCCCUGAAGGAGCUAACAAUGAAACAGACCUCUGCAGUCUAAUAAACACUGAGUUCAAAAAGAGGUAAUGAAAAUAAUGAAUUAAGAAAGGUUAUCAGCAAUAAUGCAUAUUACUUUAAAAAGGAUCUAGAAAUUAUGAUAAAGAACUAAGAAAAAUUAGAAAAUGUAUUUGCAGAGACAAAAGCUGAGCUAAAGGCAUUGAACAUCAGAAUUAAUAAUGCAGAGGAAUAAAUAAGUGACUUGGAGGCUAGAAAGGUGGAAAUCACCCACUCAGGACAUCAGACAGAAAACCAAAUCAAAAUUUUAAAAUGAAAGCAAUAUAAGAGAUCUAUGAGAUAAUAUAAAGCAUGCCAAUCUACACAUAAUAGGGAUUCCAGAAGGAGAAGAAAGAGAAAAGAGGAUUGAAAUAAUAUUUGAAGGAAUUAUGGCUUAAAACUUUACCAAUGUAAAGAAGGAAACAGAUAUCCAGACACAGGAAGCACAGAAGACCCUAAACAAGAUGAACCCAAACAGACUUACACCAAGACAUAUUAUAAUAAAAAUGGCAAAAGUUAAAGAUAAAGAAGAGAUUCUAAAGGCAGCAAGAGAAAAACAAGAGUUAGUUACAAGGAAACUCCCAUAAGACUAUCAGCUGAUUUCUCUACAAAACAGGCCAGAAGAGAGUGGCGAGAUAUAUUCAAAGUUCCAAAAGAGAAAAUUUUGCCUGGAAUACUCCACCCAGCAAGAUUGUCAUUUAAAAUAAAAGGAGAAAUAAAGAAUUUCUCAGACAAGCAAAAACUAAAAGAACACAGGAAUACUAAACCUAUCUUAAAAGAAAUAUUGAAAUAUCUCCUCUAAUGGGAAAGAAUUAAGAAGAUAUAGGAUACUUUCACCUAUCUGUGAAAGCAAUGAUAAAUGCAUCAAAGAGUAAAGGAUAAACAUGAAGAUGUAAAAAAGGAGAUCAGAACCAAAAAAUGUAGGGAAGGAAUGUAAGAAAAUCUACACUCCUUUUUUUAGAAAGUGUAUAUAAAUAGCCUAUAUGACUGUCAGUCUAAAGCAAGCAUAUAUAGGAACGAUUUAACAUACUUGAAAAACAGGCCAACCACAAAUCAAAAAUAAAAAUAGAUUCACAAAACCAAAAGGAAAAGCAUGAACGUAAAAUAAAAGGAAAUCAUCAAAACACAAAAAAAGAACAAAAGAAUGGAACAAAAAGAAAUAGAAUCAACUGGAAAACAAGGUUUAAAAUAGCAAUAAAUACCUAUCUUUCAACAAUUACUUUAAAUGUCAGUGGACUGAAUGCUCCAAUCAAAUGACAUAGAAUGAAAGACUGAAUUAAAAAAAAAAGCCUACAAUAUGUUGCCUACAAGAGACCCACUUAGGGCAAAGGACACACCUAGAUUGAAAGUGAGAGGAUGGAAAAAGACAUAUCAUGCAAUGGAAAGGAUAAGAAAAUGCAAAUCACAAUACUCAUAUCAGACAAAAUAGACUUAAAACAAAGGCCAUAAAAAAGAUAAAGAAGGACACUAUUAAUGAUAAAAAUAUCAAUUCAAGAAGAGGAUAUUACACUUGUCAACAUAUAUGCCCCUGAUAUAUGAACACCUAAAUACAUAAAACAAAUACUAAUGAAAAUAAAAGUAGAAAUUGAUGGCAAUACAAUAACAGUAGAAGACUUUAACACCCCACUCACUCAAUAGACGGAAAAUCAAUAAGGUAACUGAGAUCCCAAAUUACACAAUAGAACAGUUAGACCUAAUUGAUAUUUUCAGGACGUUACAUCCAAAAAACCCAGAAUAUACAUUCUUUUGAAGUGCACAUGGAAUAUUCUCUAGGAUUAGCCACAUAUUGGGCAAAAAACUAACCUCAAUAAAUUUAAGGAUAUAUUCGAUUCCAGAUAUAAGUGAUAUCAUAUGGUAUUUGUCUUUAUGACUCUCUUCACUUAGUAUGAGAGUCUCUAGUUCCAUCUAUGUUGCUGCAAAUGGCAUGAUUUUAUUCUUUUUUAUGGCUAAAUAGUAUUCCAUUGUGUAUAUAUACCACCUCUUCUUAAUCCAAUCAUCUGUCGAUGGACAUUUAGGUUGUUUCCAUGUCUUGGCUAUUGUGAAUAGUGCCGCAGUGAACAUAUGAGUUCAUGUCUUUUUCAAGGAAAGUUUUGUCUGGAUAUAUGCCCAAGAGUGGGAUUGCUGGGUCAUAUGUCAGUUCUAUGUAUAGUUUUCUGAGAUGCCUCCAUACUGUUUUCCAUAGUGGUUGUACCAAUUUACAUUCCCACCAACAGUGAAGGAGGGUUCCCUUUGCUCCACAUCCUCUCCAGCAUUUGUUAUUUGUGACUUAUUGAUACAGCACAAAUGAACCUUUCCACAGAAAAGAAAAUCAUGGACAUGGAGAAAAGGGCAGGGAGAGGGAGUGAGGUGGAUUGGGAAUUUGAGGUUAAUAGACGCAAACUAUUGCCUUUGGUAUGGGUAAGCAAUGAGAUUCUACUAUAUAGCACUGGGAACCAUGUCUAGUCACUUAUGAUGGAGCAUGAUAAUGUGAGAAAAGAGAAUGUAUACAUGUAUGUAUAACUGGAUUACCUUGCUGUAGAGUAGAAAAUUGACAGAACACUGUAAACCAGCUAUACAGGAAAAAAUAAAAAUCAUUAUAAAAAAUUUAAGAAUAUAGAAAUUAUUCCAAGCAUUCAUUUUCUAUGAUCAUAAUGGCAUGAAACUAGAAAUCAACCACAGGAAAAGAGAAUAAACUGACUACAUGGAGACUAAACAACAUGCUACUAAAAAACUAAGGUCAAUGAGGAAAUAAAAAAGUAAAUUAAAAUUACCUUGAGACAAAUGACAAUGAAAAUACAACCAUACAAAACAUGGGAUGCUGCAAAAGCCAUUCUUAAAUGGAAGUUCAUAGCAAUACAAGCCUUCCUCAAAAAUAAGAAAUGAAAAGUGAGAAAUCUCAAUGGAUUCUUCAGAAAUACAAAAAAAUAAGAGAAUUAUAUAAACAAUUAUAUACCAACAAAUCCUACAAUCUAGAAGAAGUGGACAACUUUCUGGAAACAUAUAGCCAACCAAAACUGAAUCAAGAAGAAAUAGAUCAGUAGAAUGAAAGAGACUGAUCACUAGAAGUGAAAUGAAAUAUGUAAUGAAAAAACUCUACUAACAAAAGUCCAGGACCAGAUGGUGUCACAGGCAAAUUCUACCAAAUAUACAAAGAAGAAUUUUUACCGAUCCUUCUUAAACUCUUCUAAAAGAUUGAAGAAGAAGGAACACUCCCAAAGACAUUCAAUGAAGCCACCAUCACCCUAAUACCAAAACCAGACAAAGAUACUACCAAAAAGGAAAAUUAUAGGCAAGUAUCUUUCAUGAAUAUAGAUGCAAAAAUUCUCAACAAAUUUUAGCAAGCCAAAAUCCAACAACACUUUAAAAAGAUAUUCAUGACCAACCCCGCCAUGACCAAGUGGGGUUCAUCCCCAGCUCACAAGGGUGGUUCAACAUCAGCAAAUCGGUGUAAUAUAUGACAUUAGCAAAAGUAAAGUCAAAUACCACACAAUCAUCUCAAUAAAUGCAGAAGGAGCAUUUGACAAAAUUCAACAUCCAUUCAUUAUUGAAAAAAAAACUCUUACCACAAAGUGGGUAAAGAGGGAAUGCAUCUCAACAUAAUAAAAGCCAUUUUAUGACAAACUUAUAGCCAAUAUCAUAUUCAACAGAGAAAAGCUGAAAACCUCCCUUCUAAAAUCUGCAACAAGAUAAAUAUUGCCCAUUCUCACUACUCUUAUUCAACAUAGUAGUGGAAGUAGUAGCCACAGCAAUCAGACAAAAAUAAAAAUAAUAAAAGAAAAAGAAAGAAAUGGUAUCCAAAUUGUAAAAGAAGAGGUAAAAUUGUCACUCUAUGCAGAUGAUAUGAUACUAUGUUUAGAAAACUCUAAUGACUUCACACAAAAACUGCUUGAACUGAUCAACAAAUUCAGCCAAGUGGCAAGAUACAAUAUGAACAUUUAGAAAUCAGUUGCAUUUUUGUAUAAUCACAAUGAAAUAUGAGAAAGGGGAUAUAAAAAAACAAUAAUUUUUAAAGUCACACCAAAAAAAAAAAAAACCACCUAAGAAUAAACCAGACCAAAGAAGUGAAAGACAUAUGCUGAGAACUAUAAAAGAUUAAUCAGGGAAAUUAUAGCGGAUUCAAAAAAAUGGAAAGAUAUCCUAUGCUCCUGGACCGAAUGAAUUAAUAUUAUUAAAAUGCCCAUACUACCCAAAGCAAUUAUAGAUUUAAUGCAAUCCCUAUAAAACUACCCCUGAAAUUUUUCAUAGAACUAGAACAAAUAAUCCUAAAAUUUAUAUGCAACCAUUAAAGACACAGAAUUGCCAAAGCAAUCCUGAGGGAAAAAACAACACAGGAGGCAAAGCUCUCCCAGAUUUCAGACAAUAUUAAAAAGCUAUAGUAAUCAAGGCAAUCUGGUACUGAUACAAAAACAGACAAUCAAUGGAACGGAAGAGAAAGCCCAGAAAUAAACCCAGACAUCUGUGGUCAAUUAAUCUUUGACAAAGGAGGCAAGAAUAUAAAAUGGGAAAAAGGCAAGUCUCUUCAGCAAGUGGUGCUGUGAAAACUGGACAGUUGCAUGUAAAUCAGUGAAACUAGAACACACCCUCACACCAUGAACAAAAAUAAACUCAAAGUGCCUUAAAGACUUACGUAUAAGACAAGACACCAUCAAACUCCUAGAAGAGAACAUAGACAAAACAUUCUCUGACAUAAACCAUACAAAUAUUUCCUUAGAUCAGUCUCCCAAGACAAUAGAAAUAAAAAUAAACAAAUGUGACCUAAUCAAACUUACAAGCUUUUAACACAGCAAAGGAAACCAUAAAAAAAAAAAAAAAGACAACUACCGAAUGGGAGAAAACAAUUGCAAACAGUGCGACUGACAAAUGUUUCAUCUCCAAAAUAUAUAUAUAUAUUUACAUAACAACCCAACAACAAAAAACCAACAACCCAAUUGAAAAAUGGGCAGAAAACCUAGACAUUUUUCCAAAGAAGACAUACAGAUGGCCAGUAGGCUCAUGAGAAAAUGCUCAACAUUGCUAAUGAUUAAAGGAAUGCUUGGAGUUCCUGUCGUGGCACAGUGGUUAACGAAUCUGACUAGGAACCAUGAGGUUGCAGGUUCAAUCCCUGGCCUUGCUCAGUGGGUUAAGGAUCCAGCGUUGCCAUGAGCUGUGGUGUAGGUCGCAGAUGCGGCUUGGAUCCCGCAUUGCUGUGGUUCUGGCAUAGGCCAGCAGCUACAGCUCUGAUUGGACCCCUAACCUGAGAACCUCCAUAUGCCA